GACGAACGCUGGCGGCGUGCUUAACACAUGCAAGUCGAGCGAGGUCCAUCCAGUGGCAACACUGGGGAAGACCUAGCGGCGAACGGGUGAGUAACACGUGAGCAACCUGCCCCGAAGACUGGGAUAACACCGGGAAACCGGUGCUAAUACCGGAUGCCCUCACCGGGCCGCAUGACCUGGUGAGGAAAUGAAUUUUGCUUCGGGAGGGGCUCGCGGGCUAUCAGCUUGUUGGUGAGGUAACGGCUCACCAAGGCUACGACGGCUAGCUGGUCUGAGAGGACGAUCAGCCACACUGGGACUGAGACACGGCCCAGACUCCUACGGGAGGCAGCAGUGGGGAAUCUUGCGCAAUGGGCGAAAGCCUGACGCAGCAACGCCGCGUGGGGGA
RNAcentral lists this ribosomal RNA (388 nucleotides) under uncultured bacterium. Its description in RNAcentral is "bacterial SSU rRNA". It matches the Rfam family "Bacterial small subunit ribosomal RNA", at positions 28 to 408 of the family's 1533-position model. The record is from RNAcentral.